CAGAAACCUGGAGGAGCUCCUAAACUCCUAAUUUACUGGGCUAACGCACUUCAGUCUGGGAUUCCAUCUAGAUUCAGUGGCAGUGGAUCUGGGAGUGACUUCACUCUGGACUCCAUCAGUGGAGUCCAGACUGAAGAUGCAGGAGAUUACUACUGUCAGAGUAUACACUAUCCAAACAGUGUCUGAGUGUUCACACAGUGAUACAGAGCCGUACAAAAACCUCCCUCAGUCAGACUGCACAGUGACUGAACUGUUACAGCUGGGACCUACUGCAAAUUAGAAAAAAUUAAUAGAUCACGUUCUCCAUCAUCAUCAGUCAUCAUCCAUUAAUCUUCUACAUUAUUAUGCUACACAAUUCCCAACCCCCACUCCAGCAAUUUACUUUAUCAUGUUUAGCCAAUCACCAUGGUGUGUGGGUGUUUGUUGGGUGCAGGCUUAUAAAAACAACAAGCCAAAUAUUCAGGAGCAAUGCUCAUAAUGAAGUUUCUUUGGAGUAACAAAAAUGCCCCUUCUUGGGAUAAUAUUGGUGCAGGAGGACCCAGGAUUCUUAUCUGGAGCCUGGCAGAUUAAACAACGACCUGCAGGUGCCAGGAGGUUGAUCAAACCCAGGUGUGUUGUGGGUAGAAAGGUGUUCAAAAGGUCAGUGCUUUGUCUCUAUCUGCUGGCCACAUUCCAUCCCUGUAUUGUCCCAUGGCUCCAUAUGUCACACGUUAUACUUUAAACACUACACACAAUACAAAAUGCAUUGCAGUUUAAUGUUGCUAGGAAUGACCACGUGGGGUAAACAUCAAAAGG
Molecule: long non-coding RNA, 795 nt
Organism: Esox lucius (northern pike)
Lineage: Eukaryota; Metazoa; Chordata; Actinopteri; Esociformes; Esocidae
Exons: 4
Source: RefSeq, a predicted model, not a curated record